AUGGCCAGUUUCCGUCUCACUGGUCUGGAGGCACGCAAGGUGUUUGCUAGAAUGCUUAGCAGCGGGGCAGGUGGCAGUGAUGCCGCUGUGGAGGCUUUCGACCCCGCCAAACGCCUCUGCAAGCUCAUCAUCUCCUGCCGGCAGGCCUCGGGGCUUGAGAUCGAGCUCGACCACAGCGACCUCCGAGUCACCCCGGAUGUCGCCGAGCGCGUCCUGGAGCGCCUCGACAACGCUGGCAUGCUCGCGUAUCGCUUCUUCGAGUGGGCGCGCAAGCAGAGGCGUGGUGGCUGCGCCCACACCGUCCGCUCCUUCCACACGGUGGUCGCGUCCCUCGCCAAGAUCCGCCAGUACCAGCUCAUGUGGGACGUCGUUGCCAUAAUGCGCCGGCAGGGCGUGGUCAAUGUCGAGACGUUUGGCAUCAUAAUGCGGAAGUACGCACGGGCGCAGAAGGUCGAUGAAGCUGUUUACACGUUCAAUGUCAUGGAGAAGUACGGCGUUGUGCCUAACCUCGCCGCUUUCAACAGCCUGCUCUGUGCGCUGUGCAAGUCCAAGAAUGUGCGCAAGGCGCAGGAGAUCUUUGAACAGAUGAAUGGCCGGUUCAGCCCUGAUGCCAAGACCUAUAGCAUCUUGCUUGAGGGUUGGGGGAGAGCGCCUAAUCUCCCAAAGAUGCGAGAGGUCUACAGUGAGAUGCUUGAUGCAGGCUGCCAGCCUGACAUAGUCACAUAUGGCAUCAUGGUUGAUUCCCUCUGCAAGACAGGCCGUGUUGAGGAAGCUGUCUUUGUGGUGCAGGACAUGAGCUCCAGGGGCUGCCAACCAACAACCUUCAUAUACAGUGUGCUCGUGCAUACAUACGGCGUUGAAAUGAGGAUCGAGGAUGCUGUUGCAACAUUUUUGGAUAUGCAGAAGGACGGGAUCGUGCCAGAUGUUGUGGUUUAUAAUGCACUUGUCACUGCCUUCUGCAAAGUGAAAAAAUUUGACAAUGCAUUUAGAGUCAUGGAUGACAUGGAAGGCCAUGGAAUCACCCCAAACUCAAGGACCUGGAACAUCAUCCUUAACAAGAUGAUUAGCCUUGGAAAGGAUGAAGAAGCAUACAGGGUCUUCCGCCGUAUGAUAAAGCGCUGCCAACCAGAUUCUGAUACAUACACCAUGAUGAUAAAGAUGUUCUGUGAGAAUGACAGGUUAGAGAUGGCACUGAAGGUAUGGAAAUAUAUGAGGUUGAAGCAGUUUCUGCCGAGCAUGCACACGUUCUCUGUGCUGAUCAAUGGGCUGUGUGACAAGGGUGAGGUUAGCCAAGCUUGUGUUCUGCUUGAAGAUAUGAUAGAGAAGGGCAUUAGACCCCCUGGUUCAACAUUUGGCAAGCUGAGGCAGCUCCUUCUGAAGGAAGGAAGGAAGGAUGUGCUUGAAUUUCUCGUUGAUAAAAUGAAGAUUCUGAUACAGGAACCUUUGUUUGAUUGA
RNAcentral lists this ribosomal RNA (1455 nucleotides) under Triticum aestivum (bread wheat). RNAcentral's name for it is "partial small subunit ribosomal RNA". The record is from RNAcentral. Lineage: Eukaryota; Viridiplantae; Streptophyta; Magnoliopsida; Poales; Poaceae.